GAGGUUGUGGCUCAGUGGUAGAGUGCUUGCCUCACAUGUGUGAGGCACUGGGUUCAAUUCUCAGCACCACA
RNAcentral lists this transfer RNA (71 nucleotides) under Marmota monax (woodchuck). RNAcentral's name for it is "tRNA.Val". It matches the Rfam family "tRNA". Rfam says of the family: Transfer RNA (tRNA) molecules are approximately 80 nucleotides in length. Their secondary structure includes four short double-helical elements and three loops (D, anti-codon, and T loops). Lineage: Eukaryota; Metazoa; Chordata; Mammalia; Rodentia; Sciuridae. The record is from RNAcentral.